CUACGGGGGGCUGCAGUGGGGAAUUUUGCGCAAUGGGGGAAACCCUGACGCAGCAAUACCGCGUGAGUGAAGAAGGCCUUUGGGUCGUAAAGCUCUUUUCUUGGGGAAGAUAGUGACGGUACCCAAGGAAUAAGCACCGGCUAACUCUGUGCCAGCAGCCGCGGUAAUACGGAGGGUGCAAGCGUUGUUCGGACUUACUGGGCGUAAAGGGCACGUAGGCGGCACAGCAAGUUAAGGGUGAAAUCCCGGGGCUCAACUCCGGAACUGCUCUUAAAACUGCUGAGCUAGAGAUAGUCAGAGGCGGGUGGAAUUCCAGGUGUAGAGGUGAAAUUCGUAGAUAUCUGGAGGAACACCGGUGGCGAAGGCGGCCCGCUGGGGCUAUUCUGACGCUAAGGUGCGAAAGCGUGGGGAGCAAACGGGAUUAGAUACCCCAGUAGUC
Molecule: ribosomal RNA, 439 nt
Filed under: uncultured bacterium
Lineage: Bacteria
Description: partial 16S ribosomal RNA
Rfam family: Bacterial small subunit ribosomal RNA
Source: RNAcentral